AUACCUUUCUCUGCCUUUUCGCUAAUAUCAGGUGUAGUGUCUGUUUUUAUCUGUUUAGUAUUUGAUAGGUGGAUUUACGGAUUCAUGAGAUAUUAAUUUAGUUUUUUGUGGGGAAGAGUUCGUCUAUGUAGCUCGAUGCAUGGACGGAUCUGAUGUGUCUUCCAAGUGUUGCACUUCUGCUUGGAAUAGGCGCACCCUAC
Molecule: non-coding RNA, 200 nt
Organism: Triticum aestivum (bread wheat)
Lineage: Eukaryota; Viridiplantae; Streptophyta; Magnoliopsida; Poales; Poaceae
Source: Rfam